AAUAUAUAAUUUUGACGUGUAAGCAUUUUAUAAACCGUUGAUUACAUCCAAGAGCCUGAAUUAUUUAUUUAACUCCUACCAUCUAAUUUAAAAAAGAUGUUGUAUCUAUAUAUAUAUGGAUCUUAUAUCAAUGAUCCAAGCCAUUAGAUAUAAUAUUGGAAGGAUCCCUCAUAAGUGCGAAAUAUGGAUUCCUACCCAAAAUCGCAAUACUAUUGAUAAUGUAGAUACCACAGA
RNAcentral lists this long non-coding RNA (234 nucleotides) under Elaeis guineensis (African oil palm). Its description in RNAcentral is "long non-coding RNA (EGUI_LNC051820)". The record is from RNAcentral. Lineage: Eukaryota; Viridiplantae; Streptophyta; Magnoliopsida; Arecales; Arecaceae.